GCCGCAGUAGCCCAACUGGCAGAGGCGCCGGUCUCAGAUACCGGAGGUUGCAGGUUCGAAUCCUGCGUGCGGCA
This 74-nucleotide transfer RNA is filed under the name uncultured Phycisphaerae bacterium. Its description in RNAcentral is "tRNA-Leu-CAG". It matches the Rfam family "tRNA". From Rfam's summary of the family: Transfer RNA (tRNA) molecules are approximately 80 nucleotides in length. Their secondary structure includes four short double-helical elements and three loops (D, anti-codon, and T loops). The record is from RNAcentral. Lineage: Bacteria; Pseudomonadati; Planctomycetota; Phycisphaerae.